This is a non-coding RNA of Cinara cedri, 380 nucleotides long. The record is from the annotation of a GenBank genome assembly. Lineage: Eukaryota; Metazoa; Arthropoda; Insecta; Hemiptera; Aphididae.
CAUAUUAAUCAUUCGAUGUUACGAAACAUCGCGUACUUAUAAAUUAUCGAAACCCAUACUUAUGGGAAAGCCGUUUACUUCCAAUCGUAUAUAACGACGCAGAACGUUUCGUGCACAGGAUGAUGUAUUCGCAGGGUCCGACAAUUUAUUUCCCGUGCGCGCGCGUUAUGAUUGCGAUACGAUAUAAUUAUGAAAUCCCGCGGAUGCACACACCUUCUUGUAUUAUUACCGCAGAGACGCGCGUACAACAAUCAUUACGACGCGUUUACAUCCAAACGAAAGCAAUGAACGAAACAAACUACAAAGCCUAUCAUCGCACAUUUAUCCGCGGUCGCACUAGAUCAUAAUAAAAAAUAAGUAUAUAUAUAUAUAUAUAAAUA